RNAcentral lists this ribosomal RNA (650 nucleotides) under Pseudomonas fluorescens. RNAcentral describes it as "bacterial SSU rRNA". It matches the Rfam family "Bacterial small subunit ribosomal RNA", at positions 100 to 746 of the family's 1533-position model. The record is from RNAcentral. Lineage: Bacteria; Pseudomonadati; Pseudomonadota; Gammaproteobacteria; Pseudomonadales; Pseudomonadaceae.
GGACGGGUGAGUAAUGCCUAGGAAUCUGCCUGGUAGUGGGGGAUAACGCUCGGAAACGGACGCUAAUACCGCAUACGUCCUACGGGAGAAAGCAGGGGACCUUCGGGCCUUGCGCUAUCAGAUGAGCCUAGGUCGGAUUAGCUAGUUGGUGAGGUAAUGGCUCACCAAGGCGACGAUCCGUAACUGGUCUGAGAGGAUGAUCAGUCACACUGGAACUGAGACACGGUCCAGACUCCUACGGGAGGCAGCAGUGGGGAAUAUUGGACAAUGGGCGAAAGCCUGAUCCAGCCAUGCCGCGUGUGUGAAGAAGGUCUUCGGAUUGUAAAGCACUUUAAGUUGGGAGGAAGGGCAUUAACCUAAUACGUUAGUGUUUUGACGUUACCGACAGAAUAAGCACCGGCUAACUCUGUGCCAGCAGCCGCGGUAAUACAGAGGGUGCAAGCGUUAAUCGGAAUUACUGGGCGUAAAGCGCGCGUAGGUGGUUCGUUAAGUUGGAUGUGAAAUCCCCGGGCUCAACCUGGGAACUGCAUUCAAAACUGUCGAGCUAGAGUAUGGUAGAGGGUGGUGGAAUUUCCUGUGUAGCGGUGAAAUGCGUAGAUAUAGGAAGGAACACCAGUGGCGAAGGCGACCACCUGGACUGAUACUGACAC